GACCGACCGAGUAAAAACCUUGUGCCAUUAACUAGAUUGGUUGAAUGAUUACAGCUAAUGAAUAUCUUAUUCAAGAUUGGAUGUACCAGUAUCAGGAUCCAAAUUGUUUCGUGGCGGUAUAGUUUGGUACAAUGCUGAUACCAUGCCGUUCUGGUCCGUUUCAAAAAUUUUUUUUAAAAUUUUUUUUUUAGUAGAUUUUGAACUGAAAUGGGCAUGUGAUCUGCCUACUUCAGUCUAAAAUUCAAAAAUCAGAAAAAAAAGUUUGAAACCUUCUUCCUUGUUCCACUCUCCUCC
RNAcentral lists this long non-coding RNA (294 nucleotides) under Elaeis guineensis (African oil palm). RNAcentral describes it as "long non-coding RNA (EGUI_LNC030848)". The record is from RNAcentral. Lineage: Eukaryota; Viridiplantae; Streptophyta; Magnoliopsida; Arecales; Arecaceae.